RNAcentral lists this ribosomal RNA (253 nucleotides) under uncultured prokaryote. RNAcentral's name for it is "partial 16S ribosomal RNA". It matches the Rfam family "Bacterial small subunit ribosomal RNA", at positions 524 to 776 of the family's 1533-position model. The record is from RNAcentral.
UACGGGGGGGGCAAGCGUUGUUCGGAAUUAUUGGGCGUAAAGAGCUCGUAGGCGGUUUGUCGCGUCGGCCGUGAAAACUUGGGGCUUAACUCCAAGCUUGCGGUCGAUACGGGCAGACUUGAGUUCGGCAGGGGAGACUGGAAUUCCUGGUGUAGCGGUGAAAUGCGCAGAUAUCAGGGGGAACACCGGUGGCGAAGGCGGGUCUCUGGGCCGAUACUGACGCUGAGGAGCGAAAGCGUGGGGAGCGAACAGG